CCUACGGGAGGCAGCAGUGAGGAAUAUUGGUCAAUGGACGAGAGUCUGAACCAGCCAAGUAGCGUGAAGGAUGACUGCCCUAUGGGUUGUAAACUUCUUUUAUAUGGGAAUAAAACGUUCCACGUGUGGGAUUUUGUAUGUACCAUAUGAAUAAGGAUCGGCUAACUCCGUGCCAGCAGCCGCGGUAAUACGGAGGAUUCGAGCGUUAUCCGGAUUUAUUGGGUUUAAAGGGAGCGUAGGUGGAUUGUUAAGUCAGUUGUGAAAGUUUGCGGCUCAACCGGAAAAUUGCAGUUGAAACUGGCAGUCUUGAGUACAGUAGAGGUGGGCGGAAUUCGUGGUGUAGCGGUGAAAUGCUUAGAUAUCACGAAGAAAUCCGAUUGCGAAGGUAGUUCACUGGACUGCAACUGACACUGAGGCUCGAAAGUGUGGGUAUCAAACAGGAUUAGAUACCCCAGUAGUC
Molecule: ribosomal RNA, 460 nt
Filed under: uncultured bacterium
Lineage: Bacteria
Description: partial 16S ribosomal RNA
Rfam family: Bacterial small subunit ribosomal RNA
Source: RNAcentral